RNAcentral lists this ribosomal RNA (1257 nucleotides) under Triticum aestivum (bread wheat). Its description in RNAcentral is "partial small subunit ribosomal RNA". The record is from RNAcentral. Lineage: Eukaryota; Viridiplantae; Streptophyta; Magnoliopsida; Poales; Poaceae.
AUGGGCCUCGAGGUAGCAGGUGGCGGGGAAGCUGCAGUUAAGGGGAAGUUCUGGGGUAUAGUUGUCUGUUUUUUCUUGGGAAAUGGAAGCCUAUUUGCCUGGAACAGUAUGCUUACCAUCGAGGAUUACUAUGUCUCUCUGUUCCCGAAUUACCAUCCGACAAGAGUUCUUACACUAGUAUACCAGCCUUUUGCCUUUGGACUCACCUGCUUCUUUGCAUACUAUGAAGCAACGAUGAACACGAGGAAGAGAAAUCUAGCUGGUUUUGCACUUUUCUUCCUUAGCUCUUUCGCGUUAAUAUUGCUGGACGUUGGUACUAAAGGACAUGGUGGAAUUCCAGCAUACAUUGGUGUAUGCAUAAUCAGUGCCUUUUUUGGGACAUCUGAUGCUCUUGUUCAAGGUGGCUUGGUUGGCGACCUUUCUUUGAUGUGCCCGGAGUUCAUUCAGUCCUUCCUGUCAGGCUUGGCUGCAUCAGGAGUUAUAACAUCAGCUUUGAGACUAAUUACAAAGGCAGCUUUCGAGAACUCACAAAAUGGUCUUCGAAAUGGAGCUAUGCUAUUCUUCUCGGUAACAUGCAUGUUCGAGCUAGCUUGCCUCCUCCUAUAUGCAUUUGUCUUUCCCAAAUUACCCAUCGUGAAGUACUACCGCCAAAAGGCAGCCUCUGAAGGGAGCAAGACUGUUGGCAGCGACCUUGCUGCUGCAGGAAUCAAAACUGAUCAAGAUAGGCAGGUUGAGGAGGAUCCCCAAAAGCACGGACGUUUAAGCACCAAGGAGCUGCUGAUGCAGAAUAUAGACUAUGCUUUGGAUAUCUUCCUGAUAUACGUCUUGACUCUAUCAAUCUUCCCUGGAUUUUUAUCCGAAGAUACUGGAUCACAUGGCCUGGGAACAUGGUACGCGCUUGUGCUGAUCACGAUGUACAAUGUGUUAGAUCUGAUUGGUAGGUACCUACCACUGAUCAAAUGCCUGAAGCUGACGAACCGGAAGGGCCUGAUGGUUGCCAUCUUGGCGCGCUUCCUGUUCAUCCCUGCGUUCUACUUCACGGCCAAGUAUGGCGACCAAGGGUACAUGAUCUUCCUCACGUCCUUUCUGGGACUGACCAACGGCUACCUCACCGUGUGCGUCCUCGCCGAAGCGCCAAAUGGGUACAAGGGGCCAGAGCAGAAUGCUCUGGGGAACGUGCUCGUGGUGUGCCUCCUCGGCGGCAUAUUCUCCGGCGUCGUGCUCGACUGGAUGUGGCUGAUAGGCAAGGGCUGGUAG